Molecule: ribosomal RNA, 457 nt
Filed under: uncultured microorganism
Description: bacterial SSU rRNA
Rfam family: Bacterial small subunit ribosomal RNA
Source: RNAcentral
GGGCUGCAGUGAGGAAUUUUCCGCAAUGGGGGAAACCCUGACGGAGCGACGCCGCGUGGGUGAAGAAGGCUUUCGGGUUGUAAAGCCCUGUCAGGUGGGACGAAAUCCCGGGUGUGAAUAGCGCUUGGGGAUGACUGUACCACCAAAGGAAGCACCGGCCAACUACGUGCCAGCAGCCGCGGUAAUACGUAGGGUGCAAGCGUUAUCCGGAAUCACUGGGCGUAAAGAGCUCGUAGGCGGUCUGGUAAGUCCUAUGUGAAAGACCCGGGCUUAACUCGGGGAACGCGUCGGAUACUGCCGGACUUGAGAGCGGGAGAGGAAAGUGGAAUUCCAGGUGUAGCGGUGAAAUGCGUAGAUAUCUGGAAGAACACCAGUGGCGAAGGCGGCUUUCUAGACCGCAUCUGACGCUGAGGAGCGAAAGCCAGGGGAGCGAACGGGAUUAGAUACCCUGGUAGUC